Molecule: ribosomal RNA, 467 nt
Filed under: uncultured bacterium
Lineage: Bacteria
Description: partial 16S ribosomal RNA
Rfam family: Bacterial small subunit ribosomal RNA
Source: RNAcentral
GAUGAACGCUGACCGAAUGCUUAACACAUGCAAGUCAACUUGAAUUUGGGUUUUUAACUUAGGUUUGGGUGGCGGACGGGUGAGUAACGCGUAAAGAACUUGCCUCACAGCUAGGGACAACAUUUGGAAACGAAUGCUAAUACCUAAUAUUAUGAUAAUAGGGCAUCCUAUAAUUAUGAAAGCUAUAAGCGCUGUGAGAGAGCUUUGCGUCCCAUUAGCUAGUUGGAGAGGUAACGGCUCACCAAGGCGAUGAUGGGUAGCCGGCCUGAGAGGAUGAUCGGCCACAAGGGGACUGAGACACGGCCCGUACUCCUACGGGAGGCAGCAGUGGGGAAUAUUGGACAAUGGACCAAGAGUCUGAUCCAGCAAUUCUGUGUGCACGAUGAAGUUUUUCGGAAUGUAAAGUGCUUUCAGUUGGGAAGAAAGAAAUGACGGUACCAACAGAAGAAGUGACGGCUAAAUACGUG